UUACGCUCAGCCCGGGGAGGGGACCCCGAAA
This 31-nucleotide small RNA is filed under the name Bombyx mori (domestic silkworm). RNAcentral's name for it is "ovarian small RNA-36537". Lineage: Eukaryota; Metazoa; Arthropoda; Insecta; Lepidoptera; Bombycidae. The record is from RNAcentral.